CUGCACAAUUCAUUGUCCUGCUCUUUGCUCUGUAAGAGCUAAGAUAUUUAUUUUGUGCCAGAGGAACAUUGGAGCUCAAUUAGCAGAGUGGCUGCACUGUGCCAACUCUACCAGUCACCUUCAUACAGCA
This is a small nucleolar RNA of Coregonus clupeaformis (lake whitefish), 130 nucleotides long. NCBI's taxonomy places the organism in Eukaryota, Metazoa, Chordata, Actinopteri, Salmoniformes, Salmonidae. The record is from RefSeq and is a predicted model, not a curated record.